RNAcentral lists this ribosomal RNA (497 nucleotides) under uncultured bacterium. RNAcentral describes it as "partial 16S ribosomal RNA". It matches the Rfam family "Bacterial small subunit ribosomal RNA", at positions 28 to 507 of the family's 1533-position model. The record is from RNAcentral.
GAUGAACGCUGGCGGCGUGCCUAAUACAUGCAAGUCGAGCGAACGGACGAGAAGCUUGCUUCUCUGACGUUAGCGGCGGACGGGUGAGUAACACGUGGAUAACCUACCUAUAAGACUGGGAUAACUUCGGGAAACCGGAGCUAAUACCGGAUAAUAUUUUGAACCGCAUGGUUCAAUAGUAAAAGACGGUCUUGCUGUCACUUAUAGAUGGAUCCGCGCUGCAUUAGCUAGUUGGUAAGGUAACGGCUUACCAAGGCAACGAUGCAUAGCCGACCUGAGAGGGUGAUCGGCCACCCUGGAACUGAGACACGGUCCAGACUCCUACGGGAGGCAGCAGUAGGGAAUCUUCCGCAAUGGGCGAAAGCCUGACGGAGCAACGCCGCGUGAGUGAUGAAGGUCUUCGGAUCGUAAAACUCUGUUAUUAGGGAAGAACAUAUGUGUAAGUAACUGUGCACAUCUUGACGGUACCUAAUCAGAAAGCCACGGCUAACUACGUG